UACGUAGGUGGCAAGCGUUGUCCGGAAUUACUGGGCGUAAAGGGCGCGUAGGCGGCCUGCUAAGUCACACGUGAAAUCCCUCGGCUCAACCGGGGAACUGCGUGUGAUACUGGCGGGCUUGAAUUCGGGAGAGGGAUGUGGAAUUCCAGGUGUAGCGGUGAAAUGCGUAGAUAUCUGGAGGAACACCGGUGGCGAAGGCGGCAUCCUGGACCGAGAUUGACGCUGAGGCGCGAAAGCUAGGGGAGCAAACGGG
RNAcentral lists this ribosomal RNA (253 nucleotides) under uncultured bacterium. RNAcentral's name for it is "partial 16S ribosomal RNA". It matches the Rfam family "Bacterial small subunit ribosomal RNA", at positions 524 to 776 of the family's 1533-position model. The record is from RNAcentral.